CAGUCGCCGCGGUAAUACGAAGGGUGCAAGCGUUAAUCGGAAUUACUGGGCGUAAAGCGUGCGCAGGCGGUUUGUUAAGACAGAUGUGAAAUCCCCGGGCUCAACCUGGGAACUGCAUUUGUGACUGGCAAGCUAGAGUGUGGCAGAGGGGGGUGGAAUUCCGCGUGUAGCAGUGAAAUGCGUAGAUAUGCGGAGGAACACCGAUGGCGAAGGCAGCCCCCUGGGCCAACACUGACGCUCAUGCACGAAAGCGUGGGGAGCAAACAGGAUUAGAUACCCCGGUAGUCCCUGUCUCUUAUAA
Molecule: ribosomal RNA, 301 nt
Filed under: uncultured bacterium
Lineage: Bacteria
Description: partial 16S ribosomal RNA
Rfam family: Bacterial small subunit ribosomal RNA
Source: RNAcentral